CCAACGAGGAGCAGUUCAUUGUCCCAUUUCCCCAGAGCUCCUAUAAUAACUUCUUUUGUGGUAUAUAUUACCCAGCACCACGGUGAUGCGUUUACCUGUUUAUAAGUCUCUUGCUGCCACCAGUUUGUGAAUUCUUGGAGGCAGGAAUUGUUUUCUCUACCUCUGUUUCUCUGGUGCUCAACAUAGAAGUUGGCAUGGAGUAGGGGCCCAGUGAUGGACUAAAGAAGGAAUGAGUGGACACACCUGCUGCCCUGGGAUGCUUUUUGUCCAGGAAUUCACUGGCACGGACUUCGAUAGGAUGGGAUAGGGCACUUAGUGGCCAGGCUGGUCAUUCUUAGGACAGACGUCUGAGCCCUAGGAGAGACCAAAGAGACUCAUUAGGCAACCGAUCAAGCAGUCAAUCAGUCAAUCAACCAGCAAGCCAGGGACAAAGC
This 434-nucleotide long non-coding RNA is filed under the name Macaca mulatta (Rhesus monkey). Its description in RNAcentral is "lncRNA (ENSMMUG00000060492.1)". The record is from RNAcentral. Lineage: Eukaryota; Metazoa; Chordata; Mammalia; Primates; Cercopithecidae.